Molecule: ribosomal RNA, 433 nt
Filed under: uncultured bacterium
Lineage: Bacteria
Description: partial 16S ribosomal RNA
Rfam family: Bacterial small subunit ribosomal RNA
Source: RNAcentral
AACGAACGCUGGCGGCAUGCCUAACACAUGCCAGUCGAACGAGACCUUCGGGUCUAGUGGCGCACGGGUGCGUAACGCGUGUGAACCUGCCCUUAGGUUCGGAAUAACUCCCCGAAAGGGGUGCUAAUACCGGAUAAUGUCUUCGGACCAAAGAUUUAUCGCCUUUGGAUGGGCCCGCGUUGGAUUAGCUAGUUGGUAGGGUAAAAGCCUACCAAGGCGACGAUCCAUAGCUGGUCUGAGAGGAUGAUCAGCCACACUGGGACUGAGACACGGCCCAGACUCCUACGGGAGGCAGCAGUGGGGAAUAUUGGACAAUGGGCGAAAGCCUGAUCCAGCAAUGCCGCGUGAGUGAUGAAGGCCUUAGGGUUGUAAAGCUCUUUUACCCGGGAUGAUAAUGACAGUACCGGGAGAAUAAGCUCCGGCUAACUCCGUG